Molecule: long non-coding RNA, 229 nt
Filed under: Elaeis guineensis (African oil palm)
Lineage: Eukaryota; Viridiplantae; Streptophyta; Magnoliopsida; Arecales; Arecaceae
Description: long non-coding RNA (EGUI_LNC014734)
Source: RNAcentral
GGAGAGGUGGUGUUGAGAAAGUCUUGCAGCAAAUAAGAAAACAUCUUGAACCCCCCACACACCAAUACACGCCACCCUUUUCAAUUUUGUCGCACAAAAACCUCCCAACCUCUUACCAUAUGGGAUAGGAUAUUCUUUCUAAUCUGAAUCAAAUUCAAAUAGAAAAGAUUGUCUUAAAAGAAAAGAGAGAUCUAGAGAGGUGGAAAGAGUGUCUAAAAAGGAAAGAGAG